Long non-coding RNA from Mugil cephalus (flathead mullet), 296 nucleotides. RefSeq lists it as uncharacterized. The record is from RefSeq and is a predicted model, not a curated record. NCBI's taxonomy places the organism in Eukaryota, Metazoa, Chordata, Actinopteri, Mugiliformes, Mugilidae. The transcript has 2 exons.
UUGUGUAAAUGGAAUUGCCAUUCUCUGGCUUUGAGCUGACCUUCAUCGUCGUCGCCUUUGUCGUCUUCUCCCUCUUCAGCCUGGCUUCAGUUUGCUUCCAGCCACAAGGAGCCCAGCCAGAAGAAGAGCUCAGUGAAAUCAAGAAAUCUCAACAUUGUAACAGGAAGCAGAGAGUGAUGACCAAACAAGCUGAAUCAGAGCAUUAGUUAUUGUGUAGUGUUCUGGCUAUAACGUCUAUAACACUAGGUUUUCUAAAAGAAUGAAGCUGAAAAUAAAGUUCCCCAUUCAUGAUGCUG